GAUGAACGCUGGCGGCGUGCCUAAUACAUGCAAGUCGAGCGAACGGACGAGAAGCUUGCUUCUCUGAUGUUAGCGGCGGACGGGUGAGUAACACGUGGAUAACCUACCUAUAAGACUGGGAUAACUUCGGGAAACCAGAGCUAAUACCGGAUAAUAUUUUGAACCGCAUGGUUCAAAAGUGAAAGACGGUCUUGCUGUCACUUAUAGAUGGAUCCGCGCUGCAUUAGCUAGUUGGUAAGGUAACGGCUUACCAAGGCAACGAUGCAUAGCCGACCUGAGAGGGUGAUCGGCCACACUGGAACUGAGACACGGUCCAGACUCCUACGGGAGGCAGCAGUAGGGAAUCUUCCGCAAUGGGCGAAAGCCUGACGGAGCAACGCCGCGUGAGUGAUGAAGGUCUUCGGAUCGUAAAACUCUGUUAUUAGGGAAGAACAUAUGUGUAAGUAACUGUGCACAUCUUGACGGUACCUAAUCAGAAAGCCACGGCUAACUACGUGCCAGCAGCCGCGGUAAUACGUAGGUGGCAAGCGUUAUCCGGAAUUAUUGGGCGUAAAGCGCGCGUAGGCGGUUUUUUAAGUCUGAUGUGAAAGCCCACGGCUCAACCGUGGAGGGUCAUUGGAAACUGGAAAACUUGAGUGCAGAAGAGGAAAGUGGAAUUCCAUGUGUAGCGGUGAAAUGCGCAGAGAUAUGGAGGAACACCAGUGGCGAAGGCGACUUUCUGGUCUGUAACUGACGCUGAUGUGCGAAAGCGUGGGGAUCAAACAGGAUUAGAUACCCUGGUAGUCCACGCCGUAAACGAUGAGUGCUAAGUGUUAGGGGGUUUCCGCCCCUUAGUGCUGCAGCUAACGCAUUAAGCACUCCGCCUGGGGAGUACGACCGCAAGGUUGAAACUCAAAGGAAUUGACGGGGACCCGCACAAGCGGUGGAGCAUGUGGUUUAAUUCGAAGCAACGCGAAGAACCUUACCAAAUCUUGACAUCCUUUGACAACUCUAGAGAUAGAGCCUUCCCCUUCGGGGGACAAAGUGACAGGUGGUGCAUGGUUGUCGUCAGCUCGUGUCGUGAGAUGUUGGGUUAAGUCCCGCAACGAGCGCAACCCUUAAGCUUAGUUGCCAUCAUUAAGUUGGGCACUCUAAGUUGACUGCCGGUGACAAACCGGAGGAAGGUGGGGAUGACGUCAAAUCAUCAUGCCCCUUAUGAUUUGGGCUACACACGUGCUACAAUGGACAAUACAAAGGGCAGCGAAACCGCGAGGUCAAGCAAAUCCCAUAAAGUUGUUCUCAGUUCGGAUUGUAGUCUGCAACUCGACUACAUGAAGCUGGAAUCGCUAGUAAUCGUAGAUCAGCAUGCUACGGUGAAUACGUUCCCGGGUCU
RNAcentral lists this ribosomal RNA (1372 nucleotides) under uncultured bacterium. Its description in RNAcentral is "bacterial SSU rRNA". It matches the Rfam family "Bacterial small subunit ribosomal RNA", at positions 28 to 1381 of the family's 1533-position model. The record is from RNAcentral.